This 855-nucleotide ribosomal RNA is filed under the name uncultured bacterium. RNAcentral's name for it is "bacterial SSU rRNA". It matches the Rfam family "Bacterial small subunit ribosomal RNA", at positions 94 to 954 of the family's 1533-position model. The record is from RNAcentral.
CGUGGCGAACGGGUGCGUAACACGUGGACAAUCUUCCUUCUGGUGGGGAAUAACCCAGUGAAAACUGGGCUAAUACCGCAUAACAUUGCGAGGGCGCAUGCCUUUGCAUUCAAAGGAGCAAUUCGCCGGAAGAGGGGUCCGCGGCCGAUUAGCUUGUUGGCGAGGUAACGGCUCACCAAGGCGAUGAUCGGUAGCCGGUCUGAGAGGAUGGCCGGCCACACUGGAACUGAGACACGGUCCAGACUCCUACGGGAGGCAGCAGUGGGGAAUCUUGCGCAAUGGGCGAAAGCCUGACGCAGCGACGCCGCGUGGGGGAUGAAGCUUCUCGGAGUGUAAACCCUUUUCGACCGGGACGAAUGCCCGCAAGGGCUUGACGGUACCGGUAUAAGAAGCCCCGGCUAACUACGUGCCAGCAGCCGCGGUAAAACGUAGGGGGCCAGCGUUGCUCGGAAUUACUGGGCGUAAAGGGUCCGUAGGCGGUGUGACAAGUCGGUAGUGAAAUCUCUGGGCUCAACUCAGAGGCUGCUGCCGAAACUGUUGUGCUCGAGUGUGAGAGAGGCGAGUGGAAUUACGGGUGUAGCGGUGAAAUGCGUAGAUAUCCGUAGGAACAUCCGAGGCGAAAGCGGCUCGCUGGAUCACAACUGACGCUGAGGGACGAAAGCUAGGGGAGCAAACAGGAUUAGAUACCCUGGUAGUCCUAGCCCUAAACCAUCAGGACUUGGGGUUUGCCCUGUACGGGGCAAGUCCCGGAGCUAACGCGUUAAGUCCUGCGCCUGGGGAGUACGGUCGCAAGGCUGAAACUCAAAGGAAUUGACGGGGGCCCGCACAAGCGGUGGAACAUGUGGUUCAAUUCGA